RNAcentral lists this ribosomal RNA (383 nucleotides) under uncultured eukaryote. Its description in RNAcentral is "partial 18S ribosomal RNA". It matches the Rfam family "Eukaryotic small subunit ribosomal RNA", at positions 592 to 976 of the family's 1831-position model. The record is from RNAcentral.
CAAUAGCGUAUAUUAAAGUUGUUGCAGUUAAAAAGCUCGUAGUUGGAUUUCUGGUGGUAGCGAUCGGUCUGGCGCUUAGCGCGAGUACUUGCAUCGUCUCCGGCCAUCCUUGGGGAGAGUCUGUCUGGCAUUAAGUUGUCGGGCAGAGGAUCCUCAUCGUUUACUGUGAAAAAAUUAGAGUGUUCAAAGCAGGCUUAUGCCGUUGAAUAUAUUAGCAUGGAAUAAUAAGAUAGGACUUUGGUACUAUUUUGUUGGUUUGCGCACCAAAGUAAUGAUUAAUAGGGACAGUUGGGGGUAUUCGUAUUCCGUUGUCAGAGGUGAAAUUCUUGGAUUUACGGAAGACGAACUACUGCGAAAGCAUUUACCAAGGAUGUUUUCAUUAA